CGCUACACAUGCAGUCGAACGCAGUAGCAAUACUGAGUGGCAGACGGGUGAGUAUAAUGUGGGAAUCUGCCUUUUGGUUUGGAAUAACACGAGGAAACUUGUGCUAAUACCGGAUAAGCCUUAACAGGGAAAGUUUUAACGCCAAAAGAUGAGCCCGCACUUGAUUAGCUAGUUGGUAAGGUAAUGGCUUACCAAGGCAACGAUCAAUAGCUGUUCUUAGAGGAAGACCAGCCACAUUGGGACUGAGACACGGCCCAAACUCCUACGGGAGGCAGCAGUGGGGAAUCUUGCACAAUGGGGGCAACCCUGAUGCAGCGAUGCCGCGUGAGUGAAGAAGGCCUUUGGGUUGUAAAACUCUUUCGUCGGGGAAGAAAAUGACUGUACCCGAAUAAGAAGGUCCGGCUAACUUCGUGCCAGCAGCCGCGGUAAUACGAAGGGACCUAGCGUAGUUCGGAAUUACUGGGCUUAAAGAGUUCGUAGGUGGUUGAAAAAGUUAGUGGUGAAAUCCCAGAGCUUAACUCUGGAACUGCCAUUAAAACUUUUCAGCUAGAGUAUGAUAGAGGAAAGCAGAAUUUCUAGUGUAGAGGUGAAAUUCGUAGAUAUUAGAAAGAAUACCAAUUGCGAAGGCAGCUUUCUGGAUCAUUACUGACACUGAGGAACGAAAGCAUGGGUAGCGAAGAGGAUUAGAUACCCUCGUAGUCCAUGCCGUAAACGAUGUGUGUUAGACGUUGGAAAUAUAUUUUUUCAGUGUCGCAGCGAAAGCAUUAAGCACACCGCCUGGGGAGUACGACCGCAAGGUUAAAACUCAAAUGAAUUGACGGGGACCCGCACAAGCAGUGGAGCAUGUGGUUUAAUUCGAAGAUACGCGCAGAACCUUACCUACUCUUGACAUACUUGGAGGCUCUUGUAAUGAAGUAGUGCCUUCGGGAGCCAAGAUACAGUGCUGCAUGGCUGUCGUCAGCUCGUGUCGUGAGAUGUUCCGUUAAGUCGGAUAACGAGCGCA
RNAcentral lists this ribosomal RNA (1003 nucleotides) under uncultured bacterium. Its description in RNAcentral is "bacterial SSU rRNA". It matches the Rfam family "Bacterial small subunit ribosomal RNA", at positions 47 to 1100 of the family's 1533-position model. The record is from RNAcentral.